This 119-nucleotide ribosomal RNA is filed under the name Pteropus alecto (black flying fox). The record is from RNAcentral. Lineage: Eukaryota; Metazoa; Chordata; Mammalia; Chiroptera; Pteropodidae.
UACUACAGCCAUGACACCCUGAACAAGCCCGAUCCAUUCUGAUCUUGGAAACUAAGCAGGGUCAGGCCUGGUUAGUACUUGGAUGGAAGACUACCUAGGAAGACCAGGUGCUGUAGGUA